UCUUUCUUUUCCCCCUGAAACAAUGAUACAGAAUAAAAGAUCUGGACUCCUGGUGAACCCACCAAAAUCUAACUAACUAUAAGGGAUGUAAGUCUCACACUGACUACAUUCAAGAGGCAGGGUACAGUAGUACAGAGAACAUGCACUAUGAAGUCAGAAAGGUCUGAAUUCCAAUUUAACUCAACCUUUUACUGGUUGCUAAUUAACAUCUAGGUCACUUUCAUCAUUCCUAACAUGGAUAUAAAGCCACUUCUGCAAGAGCUAUUGUAAAUACGAAAUACAAAGCCCUGAGGUACAGCAUGCCUGGCAUGUCGAGAAACAGAUGAAGACCAAUGUGGCUGGAGCACAAACAGGAAUUCAGAGAGGCUUACAAAAGAAAAGCCCAGGCUCAUAUUUCCACCCCCACUGCAUGGCAUGAGGAAGAAUGGAGACCCUGUAGAAUGUCCAGACACUACUUGAUGAACAGCCCCCUGGAAUGGAGACCUCGUUUUUAUUUGUAGUUCAUCAAAAGAAUAGGACUUAUCAGACACAGGCGCCAGGGUGACCUCGGAAGCCGCGUGUUAAAGACACCGCAGCCUGCAUCACACCGGUCCCUGAAUGCUCGAGACACCCCCAGACCCCUUUCAGACCUGCCAGUUGGGACUUUAUGUGAACAACAACAAAAACCCUAUUUGUCCACUGAGAUUUCAGGAUUUUACUGUUACAACAGCUAAUGCUUCCUUAACUAAUACAUAUAUGUAGGCACUGCUGUGGCGAACAAGAUAAACAUUCAUUUUGUUUUUCAUUCUGGCAAGAACGUUUAACAGGAGGGUAUGCAUUCAUGUAAAAAGCAACUCCAAGUUCAGAGGUUUUUCCUUGCUGUGUAUUUUCUUCAAAAACACUUCACUGACCAUUUCUAACAAUUCCAGGCACUGAGUUAGAUGUGACAUAUACAGAGGGAAAUCGGUCAGUCUCUGGCCUCAAGCCUACAGUGAACCAAGAUGGCAGACAUAGAAGAAAUAUACAAGUGCCUCAUUACAAAACUGCAAGUGCUUGAAGCAAACAGAGCACUGGGAGAGUCACAGAAGAGACCUAAUGGGCAAGGGGAGCAGAAGGCCAGGUUCUUCUGGGGAAGAGAUAUUUAAGCUGGAGAACACAGAUGAAUGAGUGUCAACUGAUUAAUUAAAAAUAAAGAGGGGCACCUGGCUAGCUCAGUCAGUUAAGCCUCUGACUUCAGAUCA
This is a long non-coding RNA of Felis catus (domestic cat), 1220 nucleotides long. RefSeq lists it as uncharacterized. Lineage: Eukaryota; Metazoa; Chordata; Mammalia; Carnivora; Felidae. The record is from RefSeq and is a predicted model, not a curated record. The transcript has 5 exons.